Episyrphus balteatus (marmalade hoverfly) is the source of this 391-nucleotide long non-coding RNA. RefSeq lists it as uncharacterized. The transcript has 2 exons. NCBI's taxonomy places the organism in Eukaryota, Metazoa, Arthropoda, Insecta, Diptera, Syrphidae. The record is from RefSeq and is a predicted model, not a curated record.
AUAAAAAUUGCAACACACUCGUAUUAGCUAAAUCAUAUAAAUAGCUAAAAAGCUUAAGUUCAAGUCAUAAUUGAAUCGGCUCUUAGUCAACUCAGUACUACAAUCUAAUCAUGAAGGUCUUCAUUUUCUUCGCUCUUUUCUGCUUGGCUGUAGCUUCAGCUUCAGUUAUUGGACUCGGUGGAGUCGCUGUUUCUCACUUGGGAGUACCAGUUGCCGCUCCUGGUGUAGUUAUCGGAGGAUUGGGUGUACCUGGAUUGAUUCACCCAGGACUUGUUGGACAUCAUGGUGGAGUCAUUGUUGGUUAGAUAAAAACUUUGUAAACAUAAACACAUUAUUGAUCCUUUUAAAGUAACCCUUAAUAAAAAGUUUGAGAUUAUGUAUGUAACUAAAA